This 464-nucleotide ribosomal RNA is filed under the name uncultured bacterium. RNAcentral describes it as "bacterial SSU rRNA". It matches the Rfam family "Bacterial small subunit ribosomal RNA", at positions 28 to 507 of the family's 1533-position model. The record is from RNAcentral.
GACGAACGCUGGCGGCGUGCCUAACACAUGCAAGUCGAGCGAAUGAAGUUCCUUCGGGAAUGAAUUUAGCGGCGGACGGGUGAGUAACACGUGGGCAACCUGCCUCAUAGAGGGGAAUAGCCUUCCGAAAGGGAGAUUAAUACCGCAUAAGAUUGUAGUAUCGCAUGAUACAGCAAUUAAAGGAGCAAUCCGCUAUGAGAUGGGCCCGCGGCGCAUUAGCUAGUUGGUGAGGUAACGGCUCACCAAGGCGACGAUGCGUAGCCGACCUGAGAGGGUGAUCGGCCACAUUGGGACUGAGACACGGCCCAGACUCCUACGGGAGGCAGCAGUGGGGAAUAUUGCACAAUGGGGGAAACCCUGAUGCAGCAACGCCGCGUGAGUGAUGACGGCCUUCGGGUUGUAAAGCUCUGUCUUCAGGGACGAUAAUGACGGUACCUGAGGAGGAAGCCACGGCUAACUACGUG